Molecule: ribosomal RNA, 600 nt
Filed under: uncultured bacterium
Lineage: Bacteria
Description: bacterial SSU rRNA
Rfam family: Bacterial small subunit ribosomal RNA (bases 1-446)
Source: RNAcentral
UCUGUCUGGAAUCAGUGGCGAACGGGUGAGUACACGUGACAUCUGCCCCUGACUCUGGGAUAAGCGCUGGAAACGGCGUCUAAUACUGGAUACGAGCUGCGAAGGGCAUCUUCAGCAGCUGGAAAAAAGAAACUUCGGGUCAGGAUGAGCUCGCGGGCCUAUCAGCUUGUUGGUGAGGUAACGGCUCACCAAGGCGUCACGGGUAGCCGGCCUGAGAGGGUGACCGGCCACACUGGGACUGAGACACGGCCCAGACUCCUACGGGAGGCAGCAGUGGGGAAUAUUGCACAAUGGGCGAAAGCCUGAUGCAGCAACGCCGCGUGAGGGACGACGGCCUUCGGGUUGUAAACCUCUUUUAGCAGGGAAGAAGCGAAAGUGACGGUACCUGCAAAAAAGCGCCGGCUAACUACGUGCCAGCAGCCGCGGUAAUACGUAGGGCGGCAAGCCGUUUAUCCCGGGAAUUUAUUUGGGGCGUAAAAGAGCCUCGGUAGGGCGGGUUUGUCGCGUCUGCUGUUGGAAAACCCCCGGAAGGGCUUCAAACCCUUCCGGGGGGCCCUGCAGUGGGGUUACGGGGCAAGACUAAGUUGCGGGGUAAGGGGA